RNAcentral lists this long non-coding RNA (396 nucleotides) under Nicotiana benthamiana. RNAcentral describes it as "long non-coding RNA (NBEN_LNC008574)". The record is from RNAcentral. Lineage: Eukaryota; Viridiplantae; Streptophyta; Magnoliopsida; Solanales; Solanaceae.
AGGUUCACCUAUCUCAACUGGUAUCAAAGCUUCUGCACCAUAAACCAUUGAAAAUGGUGUUUCUCCUGUACUUGUUUUUGUCGUCGUUCGAUAUACCCAUAACACCGCUGGUAAUACUUCAGGCCAAUUUCCUUUAGAUUCUUGUAACCUUUUCUUUAGGUUGUUGAUAAUUACUUUUUUGUAGACUCUGCUUGCCCAUUACCGACUGGAUGAUACAGUGUUGACGUAAUUCUUUUGAUUUGCCAACUUUGAAAGAAUUUUGUGAUUUGAGCCCCUAUAAAUUGUGAUCCAUUAUCACACACUAUCUCCUUUGUAACACCAAAGCGAAAAAUUAUAUUUCUCCAAAUGAAGUCCUUAACUUCUUUCUCUCGUACUUGUUUAAACGCUCCUGCUUCU